This 753-nucleotide ribosomal RNA is filed under the name Triticum aestivum (bread wheat). RNAcentral describes it as "partial small subunit ribosomal RNA". The record is from RNAcentral. Lineage: Eukaryota; Viridiplantae; Streptophyta; Magnoliopsida; Poales; Poaceae.
AUGGACACUAAUUGUAAGAUAGACCUGGUUGUCAACAAUUUAAGUGAAGUAUACAAUAGGAUGAUCUUUGAUGUAAGGGGGAAACCAAUCCAGACCAUGUGUGAAGGUAUUAGGACCAAGUUGAUGGUUAAGUACAAUGAGAAAAGAAUAGGGGGGCAAAAUGCUAGGUGGGAGAUAACUCCAACAUACUUAGAGAAGUUGGAGGAGUCAAGGAAGUGGGCUAGGAACUGCAAGGCACAAAUGGUUGGUCCAGAUCUUUAUCAGGUUCAGAGUGGGGAAAAUGCUUAUGCUGUAAAUUUGGCAAAAAAAAAGACUUGUGGGUGUAGAAGAUGGGACAUGACAGCAAUCCCCUGCCACCAUGUUGUGUCUGCCAUAUAUAAAUCAAAGCAGCAUCCAGAGGAUUUUGUCUCCGCAUUUUUCAAGAAAGAAAUGUACAUGGCAACAUACAAUCCUAUUAUAUUCCCAGUUCCUGGCCCUGAUCUUUGGACCAAGACACCUACUAGAGACAUUGAGCCCCCAGUUUUCAAGAGGAAGAAGGGAAGAAAGCAGACCAAGAGAAGAAAGGGUCAGUUUGAGGUGCCCAAGGCCAAAGAUACCUCUAGAGUUGGCACAAUAUCAUGCAGCAAUUGUGGUAGAGAGGGUCAUAGGUACACCAACUGUGGAGAUGCACUUAAGACAUCACUACUGAUGAGAAAGAACAAACAUCAGGGAAAACCAAGCAGCUUCUGUUGCUGCUUGUUCUACUGCUACUAA